This 253-nucleotide ribosomal RNA is filed under the name uncultured bacterium. RNAcentral describes it as "partial 16S ribosomal RNA". It matches the Rfam family "Bacterial small subunit ribosomal RNA", at positions 527 to 779 of the family's 1533-position model. The record is from RNAcentral.
CGAAGGGGCUAGCGUUGUUCGGAAUUACUGGGCGUAAAGGGCGCGUAGGCGGUGCUUCAAGUCAGGCGUGAAAGCCCCGGGCUCAACCUGGGAACCGCGCUUGAGACUGGAGGACUAGAGUUCGGGAGAGGAUGGUGGAAUUCCCAGUGUAGAGGUGAAAUUCGUAGAUAUUGGGAAGAACACCGAUGGCGAAGGCAGCCAUCUGGACCGACACUGACGCUGAGGCGCGAAAGCGUGGGGAGCAAACAGGAUU